Molecule: transfer RNA, 71 nt
Filed under: Caudoviricetes sp.
Lineage: Duplodnaviria; Heunggongvirae; Uroviricota; Caudoviricetes
Description: tRNA-Met
Rfam family: tRNA
About the family: Transfer RNA (tRNA) molecules are approximately 80 nucleotides in length. Their secondary structure includes four short double-helical elements and three loops (D, anti-codon, and T loops).
Source: RNAcentral
CGCGGAGUUAAGAAGAGGCUUCUUGAUAGGCUCAUGACCUAUAUACGCGGGUUCGAAUCCCGUCUCCGCUA